GAUUGUGGAAACCUUUCUAAUAUUUCAUAUCCUUUCUGGACCGAUCAAUAUAAUCGACCUUCAUAUUGCGGUUACGGUAAUGAAGGGUAUAAGCUGAAGUGCAGGCAGAAUCUACCCCCUGUUAUGACGCUCAGUUCCCAAGAAUUCUAUGUGCUGCAUCUCAAUCGGUCUCAUGAUUUGUUGACAAUCAAACGAGUGGAAUUGAACAACACUUGUCCUCAGCCGAUUUUGAUAAACAAUGUUUUUAAUCAUACUGAAACUGCUGAAAACAUUACUCUGUUCUACGACUGCCGAAGCAGGGGAGGUCCGAAUCAUCGUUUCAGUUGCAGAAAGGGUGGAAAAGAAACUUCCCUCAUGUUCUUUAAGGAGGAUGAAAAUGAAUGUAUUGGAUACAGUGAAGAAGUUGAAAUUCCUAUUGGGAAAAAGGCCUUUGAUUAUCUGAUUGGGGGAAUCAGCACCGUGAAUGAAAGUUUACUCGAACCCUUUGAUAUUAAAUACUUCGCAUACGAUGAUUAUUGCAAAAUAUGCAAGGAUUCUGGCGGAAGAUGUGGAUACAAACAAAAUGAAAC
RNAcentral lists this long non-coding RNA (569 nucleotides) under Gossypium barbadense (sea-island cotton). RNAcentral's name for it is "long non-coding RNA (GBAR_LNC008168)". The record is from RNAcentral. Lineage: Eukaryota; Viridiplantae; Streptophyta; Magnoliopsida; Malvales; Malvaceae.